UACGUAGGGUGCAGGCGUUAAUCGGAAUUACUGGGCGUAAAGCGUGCGCAGGCGGUUUUGUAAGACAGUCGUGAAAUCCCCGGGCUCAACCUGGGAAUGGCGAUUGUGACUGCAAAGCUGGAGUGCGGCAGAGGGGGAUGGAAUUCCGCGUGCAGCAGUGAAAUGCGUAGAUAUGCGGAGGAACACCGAUGGCGAAGGCAGCCCCCUGGGAUAACACUGACGCUCAUGCACGAAAGCGUGGGGAGCAAACAGG
This 253-nucleotide ribosomal RNA is filed under the name uncultured bacterium. RNAcentral describes it as "partial 16S ribosomal RNA". It matches the Rfam family "Bacterial small subunit ribosomal RNA", at positions 524 to 776 of the family's 1533-position model. The record is from RNAcentral.